Molecule: transfer RNA, 68 nt
Filed under: Marmota monax (woodchuck)
Lineage: Eukaryota; Metazoa; Chordata; Mammalia; Rodentia; Sciuridae
Description: tRNA.Ala
Source: RNAcentral
GGAAUGUAGCUCAGUGGCAAAGCAUAUACUUAGCAUGCACAAGGCCCUGGGUUUGAUCCCCAGCACCA